CUUUCCAAUUUCUCUUUUUUACUUUUUUGAAAGAUUACUUUUUAGGAACAUUUGGUAUGAUAUGCAUAAAAUUAUUUAUCAAUUUGUGGGCAAAAUGAUACAAGUAGCAUCUUGAUUGAACAUCAUUUACCUCAGAUAUUCAACCAGCAGUACGUUUUUUAUGCAGUCUCAACCCAUAUCCCAUUUGUUACCUCUCAGAAUAUUGGUAAGCAGUUAUUUUCGCUUUACUCUGUAUUUCUUGUGUUUUGGGCACAGGUUAUUGUACUACUGUCAAAUCGUACUUGCUAUUUUUUCUGCAAGUAUUUAACAGAAAGCUUAAAAUCCCCAUAAAACCCCACCUUGGAUAAGUGAUUGUUAAAUAUUGUACAAAUAAAAUGUAUGCUAUCCCCAUUCCAUCCCCAAGUUAAAUAAAAAAAAAAUGAACAUGGUAUGAUUUGCAUAUGCAGUUUUUCUUUAGCUAUGUGUUCUUAAAGAGGGGAGUGGUAGCUUUGUAACUUACAGUGAGGCUUACACCUUGACAACUGCCAAGAAUGAGGAUAGUGGUGAGUGAAGGGAGAUUUGUUAAUUAUGGUAUUUCCCUCUAUUAUCGUCUAAACAGAUUAUAUUCCCACUCAAGUAUGUGUGUUGGUCCUGCCAGUAUUAGGAAGCAGAGGCUUGUUGGCAUUGUGUCACACAGCACACACCAAUGAAUUCUCAGAUUUUCUAGGGUAAAGGUGAAGGACGGGGCAGCACUUAGAUUAUGGUGGUUUGAAAGAAACAGAAUUGCUUUCUAAACCAGAUGAGGCCGAGAAUGCGAACCAUGGUGAAAUAUGCAUGGAAACUCUACAGAAAAUACUGAAGUGUUUCUUACAGUGUUUUCUGCAAAACAGUGAUUCGUUAGGACAUUAAUAGGUAUUAUGUUUUCAACAUGUACAGCAUUAUGAUACAGUAAGUUUGGACCAAACAGGCAUUCAUUCCCCAGAGUCUUUCACGUGCACGAGAAUCAGUCAUUUUAACAAGAAUUCUGUUUCUGGUAGGCCACUUGGAGGGAACACAGAUGUAAAAAACACACUGAAAUAUUCCUCCUUCACCUGCUUGUCAGUCUGAGGUAGUCAGAUUAAAAAGCAGUUUGUGCUUUUUUGGUUCUAUUUUUCCUCCUCUAGUAAAUGAAGAAAGUAUCUUGAAGCUAUAUGUGUAAGUUUACAUUAUUCUUGAACCGCUUUUUAAACUAGGGUUUUUCAGACUUGUUUUUAUUGAUGACAGUUCAAGCAAUUUAAGAGAUGAAGUUAGCUCAAAACUCUUGCAAAUAGACUUUAGCUUUUUUGUAUGAGAGAAUAUGGAAAGGCCAACAAUCAACACUGCUCCUCCCCACAAAAAUGCUUUGGGAAUAUAAUACGCAUAUGCUUCAUUUGUGUAACUUUUCCUAAUGUAUUUUUUGAAUUUGCUUUUAACUGUUUCAUGUUUACCUCAAUUGGUACUUAAAAUCUGUAUACUUGGUUAUUGAUAGAUCUUCUGUAGCUCUUACGUAGCCAAUGAGACAGAUGAGGGCUGUCAGCUUUUAAGUGACAUCUUAAGCUAAUAAGAAAUUGCAAUCCUCAAGUCAUUUCAUGAGGCUGUUACCCUUUAAGACAAAUAAUACUUUCCUCAAAUAGUUUAGAAAAUUUUUAAAAGGGUCAGUUAGAGCGUAAGUGUAAAAUUCUUGCUUCUAGUAUAUAAUAGUGAUGUUACCAUGUUAAGUAUUUUGGUGAAAUAUCCCCUAAAAAUGUGUAGACUAUGGCACAGAAUCAGUAUGCAAGCCUUAGCCUGAAUGAGACUGCUGAAAAGUAAAUGACAGGGAUCUGAAUACUUAGAAGGUUUGACUUUUUGCAGGGAAGGAAAGGCUAUGUAUGCAAAAGAAUAUGUUGUAACUACUGAAGAGCUACUUUUAUGCACAGAAAUUUUUUAUUCCACUUUGUAUCCAAGAUUUCAUUAAAACAUUGUGCCUUAGAGCAUACUUUAAAAACUAUUUGGUAAGGAAUCCACUGUCGAACUUCAGGUUUUAAUAGCACUGCCUUUGGUGUUAAACUGAGUUGAAUUCCAAGCCUGCUGGCUAUUCCCAGCAUUGCCACUGCUUUGUUAGUUUUCUAAUCUGUAAAU
Macaca fascicularis (crab-eating macaque) is the source of this 2115-nucleotide long non-coding RNA. The record is from Ensembl. Lineage: Eukaryota; Metazoa; Chordata; Mammalia; Primates; Cercopithecidae.